GACGAACGCUGGCGGCGUGCUUAACACAUGCAAGUCGAACGGUGACCUCGAGAGCUUGCUCUUGAGUGAUCAGUGGCGAACGGGUGAGUAACACGUGAGUAACCUGCCCCAGACUCUGGAAUAACAGUUGGAAACAGCUGCUAAUACCGGUUAUGACACGAACAGGCUUCUGUAUCGUGUGGAAAGUUUUUUCGGUCUGGGAUGGACUCGCGGCCUAUCAGCUUGUUGGUGAGGUAAUGGCUCACCAAGGCGACGACGGGUAGCCGGCCUGAGAGGGCGACCGGCCACACUGGGACUGAGACACGGCCCAGACUCCUACGGGAGGCAGCAGUGGGGAAUAUUGCACAAUGGGCGCAAGCCUGAUGCAGCGACGCCGCGUGAGGGAUGACGGCCUUCGGGUUGUAAACCUCUUUCAGUAGGGAAGAAGCGAAAGUGACGGUACCUACAGAAGAAGCACCGGCUAACUACGUGCCAGCCGCCGCUGUAA
This 487-nucleotide ribosomal RNA is filed under the name uncultured bacterium. Its description in RNAcentral is "partial 16S ribosomal RNA". It matches the Rfam family "Bacterial small subunit ribosomal RNA", at positions 28 to 523 of the family's 1533-position model. The record is from RNAcentral.